GCGAACGCUGGCGGCAGGCCUAACACAUGCAAGUCGAGCGCCCAGCAAUGGGAGCGGCAGACGGGUGAGUAACGCGUGGGGAUCUACCCAAUGGUACGGAAUAACCCAGGGAAACUUGGAUUAAUACCGUAUGUGCCCGAAAGGGGAAAGAUUUAUCGCCAUUGGAUGAACCCGCGUCUGAUUAGCUAGUUGGUGGGGUAAUGGCCCACCAAGGCGACGAUCAGUAGCUGGUCUGAGAGGAUGAUCAGCCACACUGGGACUGAGACACGGCCCAGACUCCUACGGGAGGCAGCAGUGGGGAAUAUUGGACAAUGGGCGCAAGCCUGAUCCAGCCAUGCCGCGUGUGUGAUGAAGGCCUUAGGGUUGUAAAGCACUUUCGCCGGUGAAGAUAAUGACGGUAACCGGAGAAGAAGCCCCGGCUAACUUCGU
This 429-nucleotide ribosomal RNA is filed under the name uncultured bacterium. RNAcentral describes it as "bacterial SSU rRNA". It matches the Rfam family "Bacterial small subunit ribosomal RNA", at positions 29 to 506 of the family's 1533-position model. The record is from RNAcentral.